RNAcentral lists this ribosomal RNA (425 nucleotides) under uncultured bacterium. RNAcentral describes it as "partial 16S ribosomal RNA". It matches the Rfam family "Bacterial small subunit ribosomal RNA", at positions 354 to 796 of the family's 1533-position model. The record is from RNAcentral.
GUGGGGAAUCUUGCGCAAUGGGCGAAAGCCUGACGCAGCCAUGCCGCGUGAAUGAUGAAGGUCUUAGGAUUGUAAAAUUCUUUCAUCGGGGACGAUAAUGACGGUACCCGGAGAAGAAGCUCCGGCUAACUUCGUGCCAGCAGCCGCGGUAAUACGAAGGGGGCUAGCGUUGCUCGGAAUUACUGGGCGUAAAGGGCGCGUAGGCGGACAGCUUAGUCAGAGGUGAAAGCCCAGGGCUCAACCUUGGAAUUGCCUUUGAUACUGGCUGUCUUGAGUUUGGGAGAGGUGAGUGGAACUCCGAGUGUAGAGGUGAAAUUCGUAGAUAUUCGGAAGAACACCAGUGGCGAAGGCGACUCACUGGCCCAAUACUGACGCUGAGGCGCGAAAGCGUGGGGAGCAAACAGGAUUAGAAACCCUGGUAGUCC